Molecule: unclassified non-coding RNA, 342 nt
Filed under: soil metagenome
Description: partial contains 5.8S ribosomal RNA, internal transcribed spacer 2, and large subunit ribosomal RNA
Rfam family: 5.8S ribosomal RNA (bases 1-119)
Source: RNAcentral
GAUGAAGAAGCAGCGAAAUGCGAUAAGUAAUGUGAAUUGCAGAAUUCAGUGAAUCAUCGAAUCUUUGAACGCACAUUGCGCCCGCCAGCAUUCUGGCGGGCAUGCCUGUUCGAGCGUCAUUUCAACCCUCGAGCCCCCCCGGGGGCCUCGGUGUUGGGGGACGGCACACCAGCCGCCCCCGAAAUGCAGUGGCGACCCCGCCGCAGCCUCCCCUGCGUAGUAGCACACACCUCGCACCGGAGCGCGGAGGCGGUCACGCCGUAAAACGCCCAACUUUCUUAGAGUUGACCUCGGAUCAGGUAGGAAUACCCGCUGAACUUAAGCAUAUCAAUAAGCGGAGGA